GCGGCUAGAGAGGCAGUUUGACAUAAAUAGGAGUCAGUUUUCGAUCCGAUUUGGGUUCCGAGGCUUAUAAACUCACCCUGUGGCAAUAGAGAUGGGUAUGGUGGUUCUGUGGAGACCUAAACCGUGGAGCAGAGGGCAGCGGUAGCUAACAGAAAGUAGAACUAUAGGAUGCUUCAGACAAACUGUCAGACAGCGAACAUCGAUUAAUUU
Molecule: long non-coding RNA, 210 nt
Filed under: Elaeis guineensis (African oil palm)
Lineage: Eukaryota; Viridiplantae; Streptophyta; Magnoliopsida; Arecales; Arecaceae
Description: long non-coding RNA (EGUI_LNC003254)
Source: RNAcentral